AUCGGUGGCUAUCAAGGAAUCCUG
Molecule: non-coding RNA, 24 nt
Filed under: Arabidopsis thaliana (thale cress)
Lineage: Eukaryota; Viridiplantae; Streptophyta; Magnoliopsida; Brassicales; Brassicaceae
Source: RNAcentral